Molecule: long non-coding RNA, 599 nt
Organism: Lolium rigidum
Lineage: Eukaryota; Viridiplantae; Streptophyta; Magnoliopsida; Poales; Poaceae
Exons: 2
Source: RefSeq, a predicted model, not a curated record
AUACAUGUGUUUCAAUUCUAUCUAUCUAAAAUACAAAAACUCAAGUGAAUCACAUGAUGCUUAACCCAUACAUGACAAUGAUUUCACUUUUAUCGCUUGAUUACUUCUUUACUUUCUUUUUUAGACACUUUUUUACUUUAUGUUGCACUUUUAACAGGAGUACAGCCUGCUGCAACAAUAGAAAGUAACGAGUAUACCGUCUAAGCUCGUACGUACAAGGGUGUCGUGCUAAGUGGCUUUAAAAAGGGAGCAGAACGUGAGUUACUGGGUAAAAGGCUAGAGAAACGUUCUUGCGUCUGCUCCCAGUGUAAAGAUCUUCCAUGGUGAUGCAGGGUCAAGGUCCUCCAUUUGAUGUUGUCAGUGGUGUUAGCAUUUGGUGGUGCACCUACAUAUUAGAUUUAUGUUUUCUAUGUGUUGUGGCCUCUAAAGAUCGAACCACAACAAGCUUAUGUAGAUGUUAUAACUUUUGUACCUUCUAUUGAUGUCAAAAGGAAACACAGAAUGUUAAGUUAUUGUAGUAUAUUUAGCUAUUUCCCUGAUUGUGUAUAAGCAUUGUUGUUUUUUUGCGAAUUUAUGUGUUUAGUUAUAAUUGCACUCUA